UUCAAUGAUGUGGACAAAUGAGUUAAGGAGGAAUGAGUGGGCGAAGGAAAGAGAUGGAAGAAAGGACUUGAGAGAAAUCAGAGGGAGAAGGAAAGAGAAAUUGAUUUAGUCAACUUAGGAUUGAUUGAAGAGUGUGAAAAUGUACAUGUGGCAUGUUGUAAUAGGUGAUGAAGAUGACUAAAUGAUAACAUUAGUUGAUUACCAAAGUGUCAUUUUAGUAGUGUAAAUUUU
RNAcentral lists this long non-coding RNA (231 nucleotides) under Lathyrus oleraceus (garden pea). RNAcentral describes it as "Pisum sativum (pea) long non-coding RNA (PSAT_LNC022882)". Lineage: Eukaryota; Viridiplantae; Streptophyta; Magnoliopsida; Fabales; Fabaceae. The record is from RNAcentral.